This is a non-coding RNA of Cucurbita pepo subsp. pepo (vegetable marrow), 756 nucleotides long. The record is from RefSeq and is a predicted model, not a curated record. NCBI's taxonomy places the organism in Eukaryota, Viridiplantae, Streptophyta, Magnoliopsida, Cucurbitales, Cucurbitaceae.
AAAUGCCAAAAGGCGAAACCCAAAUCCAGAUUCUAUAAACCAACCAACCACGGGGAAGAAUAUAAGUACUAUAAUUGUCUGGUUACCAGGAAAGCUUCAUACCCAACGGAAAGACAUGAUCAUGCGCUCUACUUCCUUAUUUGCUUGGGAAAAAAGUAAAUUUGUGGAGAUUGUUGCUGCAGGCCUUCAGAGUACAAUUCAGACCAACUUCAAUGUAAAUGGAAUCCCGAAUCUUCAUUCCUCAGAAGUGAUUAUUAUGCAACCUGUCUGAGCACAGAAGGAUACAUGUUCUCGUUUAGGAAAAGGGUGAUCCAGCCAUUAAAACUGCUUGGAGCCAGGGGGCACUUGAAAAGUGGUUCAAUUUUUCAACAUACUGGGGAUCAAACUUCAUAGAGGCUUUCGCCUUGGCACGCUGAGAACGAGGGCUGCUUGGUCACUGGUUGCUGCAGUUGCAGUGAUUCGAUACCCACAGUCCCAUCGGCGAUGAAUACCUUCACUAGGGUAUAAGAAAUCCAACUCGACCACCUGAAGUUUAAGAACAACGGUCAGGUCAGUUUUGCACAUUGUAAUUUUGUAUAACCAGAUUAGAAGAUAUUAUCCUUUCAUGAUGUGAAAAAUAACCUGAUCGGAAAAUCCUGCACCACGGGACAUAACAACGCCCCACCGACUUCCCGAGGUGGCCAUUGCCGUUACAUAGAAUCCCUCUCUCCACUUUUUGUUAAUCCAUUUGAAAGGAAAAGAAUCACUGACUUUGUA